Molecule: long non-coding RNA, 1228 nt
Filed under: Parus major (Great Tit)
Lineage: Eukaryota; Metazoa; Chordata; Aves; Passeriformes; Paridae
Description: lncRNA (ENSPMJG00000015608.1)
Source: RNAcentral
AUGGCAACCCUUCCUGGAAGGAUUCUGGCUGGUGUGGGGCUGACUGAAGAAGAAGAGGAGUCACCUGAGCUGGGAGUGGCCAGAAGGCUCCCUGGCCCCUUUACAAAUACAGGAGGACAGAUCUUUGCCUUCUGCUCUUCUCCGUAUGAAGGACAGGUGAUGAUAAAAGCCACAGAAUCUUGUUAUGCCAUUAUGUCCAGCAUUAAAGCGUCUGUCCUUGUAAUGUGAACACCAGUACCUCUCUGAGGUGAGGAUAUCAGCUCAGCAAAGUGAGAUUAACACCAAAAUGUGUGUCACAAGCUCAGAGUGCAUCAACCUUUUCCAAAAACUGAAGUAUCUCAUGAAGCCCAGAAGUGGGGGAUCUGUUGAGUAACCAGCAGCAGAGGUGAAAGAUCAAGUUUUAGUACCAAUUACUUGGUUUCCCGUGUGCCUCUCCUUAAUAAGUCUAUGAGAGACUGAUUUAAAACAGCCACCACACUGACACAUAAGAGCUACAUCUAAGGAGAGAGAAAAGAGUAGUUCAACUGUUUGUAUCUUCUUUCCAGAGCUGGGAGAGCUGACAGAGGCUGAGUGUGUCUGAUCACUUCUAUUACCAGAAACAUGACCUGUCAUUUUUGCUGGGAUUACAAAGGUAACUAACGUGAUUCUGUAUCUUACAUGCUUGAAAAUAUGUUUUGAAAAAUAUGCUUGGUAUCUCUCAUCUCCUUUCUAGCAUACAGAGUUAGCAUAAAUAUGAAGUCUUAGGUAAGCAAUGAAUUUUGAUGAAAAUUCUCCAUCUAGAAAGAGGGAAAAGGCAGAAAAAUAUUCAAGAAAUAGUUAUAGUGACAUUUUGAUUUUGAAGCUCAGGAUAUCAGAGGACAUCAAUGAUCUUCAAAUACUGAAAUGAAAAACUUUGGGCACACAGAAUUCAUUAAUAUUUUCUUUGUGAAGCCUCCAAUUGAUAGGUCUUUAGUACUUGGCCAUUUUAAUUUACAUAGUGUGCUUGUUGGGGCUGUCCUGUGCAGGGCCAAGAGUUGGACUUGAUGAAUCUUUGUGGAUCCUUUCAACUCAGAAGAUUCUGUGAUUCUGUAAUUUGUACUGUUUUUAUUAUAAACAGGAAUGUAAGGUACUUUUCAGAUUAAAAAGCAGAAUCUGUACCCUAAAGGCAUAGUUUCACAGAUUUUCACCAAACAUUAGCAGAGUUGUUGCUGAGUUCCUCUGAAGAUCAACAUUUACUAGUAAAUAGUGU